Molecule: small RNA, 67 nt
Filed under: Cytobacillus firmus
Lineage: Bacteria; Bacillati; Bacillota; Bacilli; Caryophanales; Bacillaceae
Also listed under: 1 other name
Description: Bacillus firmus Bacillaceae-1 RNA
Rfam family: Bacillaceae-1 RNA
Source: RNAcentral
CACGAAGUAAUGCAGACUAAGAACGCCACGUCCUGUGGCAACGUCUGCAUUACCCCCACCCUGGGGG